RNAcentral lists this ribosomal RNA (253 nucleotides) under uncultured bacterium. Its description in RNAcentral is "partial 16S ribosomal RNA". It matches the Rfam family "Bacterial small subunit ribosomal RNA", at positions 524 to 776 of the family's 1533-position model. The record is from RNAcentral.
UACGUAGGGGGCCAGCGUUGCUCGGAAUUACUGGGCGUAAAGGGUUCGUAGGUGGUGCUGCAAGUUGGGAGUGAAAUCUCUGGGCCUAACUCAGAGGCUGCUUUCAAAACUGCCGCGCUCGAGUGCGAGAGAGGUCAGUGGAAUUGCAGGUGUAGCGGUGAAAUGCGUAGAUAUCUGCAGGAACACCCGUGGCGAAGGCGGCUGACUGGAUCGCAACUGACACUGAGGAACGAAAGCUAGGGGAGCAGACAGG